GCAGAGCGGAGGGCUGCUGGUGGCCAGCAAAGGUGGGUCGAGGGAGGGGCCUCGGCCACUGCCUCAAGGAGGGCCUUGCUGAACUUGGUGGCCCAGCCCAGGCCCUCUCUCUGGCUUGUCAAUCUCAUCACAGCCCCUCCGCCGCGAUGUGGCCUGGUUCUGCGUGUCUGCUGGGCUGAGUGGGGCUGUGGCAGAACAGCUCACUCAUCUGGGUAGCCGGGUGGGGGAUAUGGCUGGCCAGGGCUGCCCUACCCUCCCUCCUCCUGGUACGUGGCUGUGAGGUGCAGGCGGCCUCCGGGGUGCCGUGACUGCCUGCCCGCUGCUACAGGUGGUGAUAAAGUGCUGCUGCAUUUCGUCCAGAAGUCUCCAGGCGACUACGUCCCCAAGGAGCACAUCCUGCAGGUCCUGGGCAUCUCUGCGGAGGUCUGUGCCAGCGACCCGCCUCAGUGUGCCAGAGAGGUGUGAGGGAGGCGAAGGCCCUGGCCUCCGAGGAUCUGGGUGGCGUCUGCUGCCCUAGGUGUGCUGGAAGUCCACUUGGAAGAACUGUUCCAGAGGUGCUGGGUCGGGAUGCCGAACCUCUCCUGAUCCGCCGGCAGCAACAAGCCAUUAAAACUGCAGUUCCUGACCACGCACUGCUUCGCAGGCUCCGAGCCCUGCAUCCUCCACAGCCCCCGCCUUGCUCACUGUUGGGCCCUCAGGGCGGGCAGGGUAGCUGUGAGUCCCAGGUGUCAUCUUCCUGCUCUGCGACUUUCUCUGGAGACCUUGGGCCUUUGGCCUGUGGGGCACUGGGGAUGGUAACCUCACUGCCCUGUCACUCCCUUCAAAGGCGACAGACCCCAGCCCACGUCAGGAGAGGAGCGUGGGGUCAGCUCCAGCAGGGUCGGGGUCAGUGCCCGUGUCUGGUGGGGGCCACUCAGGAGAGUUGGGUUUUCAGGGCAGAGAUGGGCUUGAUUCCACCUGGUGGGGUGGGUGGACCCUGGAGACUCUCAGGUGAUGGGCCAGCCUGCCCCAAGGCCCUUUACUGAUGUCAGAAUCAUUGUUUGCACCUGCUGGGUAUGGCCUUUGGGGCGGCCGGCCCGGGAGGGUCUUAGUCUAAUUAGGUGUGUCCAGCUUCUUGGCCACCUUUCCCUGGGGACCCUAACAGGCCCAGAGCAGAGCCCCUUACCUCCCAGGUCAGACUACCUGCUCAGGCCCUCCCCUCCCAUGCAGGCCGAUGACAACUGCAGCCCUCUCUGCACUCCCUAGUCCAGACCUGGGGACCACUGUGGGUUCCUGUGGGUCUCCCGGCUCCCUUCCUGCCCCCAAUGCCACCCUUGCAGUGGCCAUUUAAAAAUGCAUAGCAGGUGACCCACUGCGUCCCUUUGCGUUCAGCCCCUCCUCUGGCUUUCAGUUACACAAAGCUAAAAUUUCAGGUUCCCAGCUGCAGCUCUCUGGGUCCCCCGGUGCCCCAGUGGGGCUCCCCGCAUCUGAACGUGUGGUCCCUGGGGGCGGGCACUUGGGGGCAUCCUGGUCACUGCUGGCCCUAGCAUUGGACCCUAGGAGACUUGACUGGAACUGGCUCCCUCCCCAUCAGCUCCCAGCUGUCACUCUCUCCCACCCCCGGGCAGCUGUUUUGCCCAAGGCCACUGCUACCUGUUUGCCCACCCUGGUCCCUCCCAGACAAGCAAGGCCUCUGAUUUCUUUGAAGCAUUUACUUAGCUCAAGUCUGAAGCUGUAGAUACUGAAAGACAAUGCACCUUGGAGGGUGGGCAGGACACAGUUGAUUGUCUCUAUAGAGCUGUGACGGGGGCACUGAGCCCCGCGGGUGUCUGUGGAGGGGGCUCCGGUCCAGGUACUGCACUGGACACUGCUCAUCCCUGGGUGUCAGGCAGGUGGCUGCACCCUAGGCCAGGCGCAGAGGCCUGGCAGGCAGGCUUGGCAUGGUUGGCCGGGGCGGGACGUACACUGGGUCGCCGCUAGCUGCACCUUCGCACAGAUGCCUCCGAGCAGCAGGUGGGCGUGGGCCGCACAGCGCGGCAGGGCCUUGGCUACCACACGCGGCAUCGCUCCUUGGGGUGCAUGGGGGUGCCCCGGGCACAGUGGAACGUGUCUGCGAAGGCGGCCAGGUUCUGCAGCGACCCCAGUACCCUGUGGGUGGGUGGGUGUGACAGCAGGUGCAUUGCCAUCUUGGACAAACAUGGCCAUUUUAAGUUCUCCGUGAUUAAAAACCAGCCCAAAACAUCAGCCUAAUGGCUCAUGUCAGUAUGAGCAGAAACAUUUCAACCAUGAGAUAAACCCCCAUCUGACCAGAAACAUGCCAAUCCUGAGAAUAACCUCCCCUCCAGCCAGAGAUAUUCCAACUCUGCAAUAAAACUCUCCUUCACACAGAAACAUUUGCAGCCUGCGGUAGGCUCCCCCUUCCUAAACCCUUAAAUGCCCUUAGUCUGUAAGAGAAUGUCCCUGACCGAAAUCGGCCAGAAGCCCCUCUCAGGUUUAUUCCCAAAAUAAACCUGUCUCUGUUGAGCCA
This 2506-nucleotide small RNA is filed under the name Pan troglodytes (chimpanzee). Its description in RNAcentral is "retained intron". The record is from RNAcentral. Lineage: Eukaryota; Metazoa; Chordata; Mammalia; Primates; Hominidae.